UUAAAUAUCUACAUCUUUGACUUGUAAUGAUGAUAUAGUAUGACAGUUGACCAAGAUAUCUGCCAUGCAUUAAUGUGGAUGGGAUUAUAGCCGACCGGCGGUGUGAACAGUGGCCAAAAGCAGUGGAUAAGUUCCAUGCAGUCGGCAGAACCCAUCAGAUCAGGGGGAUAUGUCAGAUGGUAGUAGGUGGCACAGUAAUCCAGGCAAAGAUAUUAUUUCUUGACGAGUAAGUCUUCACAAGGAGGUACGUUUUUGAUAUAUAUACAUUCACACAAACUGAUAAUAAAUAAUCUAUCUCAUCACACUAGAUUUUAUCAUCCUCUUGAGUUAACCUCGUGAACAGACAUACUUACUCUCACGCCUGAGCUAUC
This 371-nucleotide long non-coding RNA is filed under the name Panax ginseng (ginseng). RNAcentral's name for it is "long non-coding RNA (PGIN_LNC017214)". Lineage: Eukaryota; Viridiplantae; Streptophyta; Magnoliopsida; Apiales; Araliaceae. The record is from RNAcentral.